GACGAACGCUGGCGGCGUGCCUAACACAUGCAAGUCGAACGAAGCUCUGCGAUACAAGACUUCGGUCAAGUUGAACGGAUGACUUAGUGGCGGACGGGUGAGUAACGCGUGAGGAACCUGCCUUUCAGUGGGGGACAACAGUUGGAAACGACUGCUAAUACCGCAUAAUGUAUUCUGACCGCAUGAUCGGAAUACCAAAGAUUUAUUGCUGAAAGAUGGCCUCGCGUCUGAUUAGAUAGUUGGUGAGGUAACGGCUCACCAAGUCGACGAUCAGUAGCCGGACUGAGAGGUUGAACGGCCACAUUGGGACUGAGAUACGGCCCAGACUCCUACGGGAGGCAGCAGUGGGGAAUAUUGGGCAAUGGGGGAAACCCUGACCCAGCAACGCCGCGUGAAGGAAGAAGGCUUUCGGGUUGUAAACUUCUUUACCUAGGGACGAAGGACGUGACGGUACCUGGAGAAAAAGACCACGGCUAACUACGUG
Molecule: ribosomal RNA, 484 nt
Filed under: uncultured bacterium
Lineage: Bacteria
Description: bacterial SSU rRNA
Rfam family: Bacterial small subunit ribosomal RNA
Source: RNAcentral